UGGGGAAUAUUGCACAAUGGGCGCAAGCCUGAUGCAGCCAUGCCGCGUGUGUGAAGAAGGCCUUCGGGUUGUAAAGCACUUUCAGCGAGGAGGAAGGGCAGUGUGUUAAUAGCAGACUGCAUUGACGUUACUCGCAGAAGAAGCACCGGCUAACUCCGUGCCAGCAGCCGCGGUAAUACGGAGGGUGCAAGCGUUAAUCGGAAUUACUGGGCGUAAAGCGCACGCAGGCGGUUUGUUAAGUCAGAUGUGAAAUCCCCGCGCUUAACGUGGGAACUGCAUUUGAAACUGGCAAGCUAGAGUCUUGUAGAGGGGGGUAGAAUUCCAGGUGUAGCGGUGAAAUGCGUAGAGAUCUGGAGGAAUACCGGUGGCGAAGGCGGCCCCCUGGACAAAGACUGACGCUCAGGUGCGAAAGCGUGGGGAGCAAACAGG
Molecule: ribosomal RNA, 429 nt
Filed under: uncultured bacterium
Lineage: Bacteria
Description: bacterial SSU rRNA
Rfam family: Bacterial small subunit ribosomal RNA
Source: RNAcentral